GAUGAACGCUGGCGGCGUGCCUAAUACAUGCAAGUCGAGCGAACAGACGAGGAGCUUGCUCCUUCGACGUUAGCGGCGGACGGGUGAGUAACACGUAGGUAACCUACCUAUAAGACUGGGAUAACUUCGGGAAACCGGAGCUAAUACCGGAUAAUAUUUCGAACCGCAUGGUUCGAUAGUGAAGGAUGGCUUUGCUAUCACUUAUAGAUGGACCUGCGCCGUAUUAGCUAGUUGGUAAGGUAACGGCUUACCAAGGCAACGAUACGUAGCCGACCUGAGAGGGUGAUCGGCCACACUGGAACUGAGACACGGUCCAGACUCCUACGGGAGGCAGCAGUAGGGAAUCUUCCGCAAUGGGCGAAAGCCUGACGGAGCAACGCCGCGUGAGUGAUGAAGGUCUUCGGAUCGUAAAACUCUGUUAUUAGGGAAGAACAAACGUGUAAGUAACUGUGCACGUCUUGACGGUACCUAAUCGGAAAGCCACGGCUAACUAUGUG
This 497-nucleotide ribosomal RNA is filed under the name uncultured bacterium. RNAcentral's name for it is "partial 16S ribosomal RNA". It matches the Rfam family "Bacterial small subunit ribosomal RNA", at positions 28 to 507 of the family's 1533-position model. The record is from RNAcentral.